GUGUGACCACCUGAUCCCAUGCCGAACUCAGAAGUGAAACGCGGUAGCGCCGAUGGUAGUGUGGCAUUCGCCAUGCGAGAGUAGGACACUGCCAGGC
RNAcentral lists this ribosomal RNA (97 nucleotides) under Aeromonas veronii. The record is from RNAcentral. Lineage: Bacteria; Pseudomonadati; Pseudomonadota; Gammaproteobacteria; Aeromonadales; Aeromonadaceae.